UACCAAAAUCCUAAAAUAAAGAGUAGAGUUUUGGCAGAGUUAAAACAAACAAACAAACUCGCCAAGUUUCUCCUAAAUUAAAUUACUUAUUCCCGACAAAGGGGGAACUCUGCUUUCACCGUGUGUUUGUUUUCCAGGAGUAAACUGCAGAGGAACCAACUUCAGGGAGGCUUUGCUCCUGCCCCUUGGCUAUUUCUAGCAUCUGUAAUCUUGACCAUUUCACCUAAGUCCACCAAGGGAACUCAGCUUUCACCACGACUAUGACUUCAGACGGGUCUAGGUGUUUUCCAGUGGGGUCAAGAGAUGUUGACUUGUUUUAAAAGUUCCAGCCUGCUGAAUCUCUCAGUAUUUGCAUGCAGAAAGAUGUAUUAGAGUGACUAGAGAUGUUUGAAAGACAGGCGAAGACCAACAUUAGCCAUCGUCACACGGACCACGAUGGACCAGGUGGCUGAUCUUUCUAAACCACAGUGAAAAAUCUGCCUAUGAUGCAGGAGGACCUGAGUUCAAUCCCUGGGUCGGAAAGAGCCCCUGGAGAAGAGAAUGGCAACUCAAUUGCCUGGGAAAUCCAACAGACAGAGAAGCCCGGCAGGCUACAGUCCAUUUGGUCGCAAAGAGUUGGACACAACUAAGCGAUCUUCACUUUCACUUUUCAUGCAUAAUACAGAGUACAGUAUCUUCAUUUUCACAGAGAGAAUUCUCUGAAGAUCAACUUCUCUAUUGCCACUGGUUUGCGCCUGCUUCGGGCCAGCACCUGCUCUCAUCAGAGCUCUGCAAGAGCCUUCUACUCACCUACCAGCCUCUCCUUCCCAACACGAUCUUCAGUGAGGUCUCUCUGCAGUGUCAGAAUCAAUCAGUCGACUUAACAAAAAUCACUCCAUUGCCCUCAAACAAGAAGCCCAGAGUCCUCAGUCUAGCUUUCCACCUGCUAACAAACCCAGUGAUUUCCCAGUGAUUUCCUCUUGGUCUUGACUUUAGUAUCACUUCUUCCCAGGGCUUCCCUGGUGGCUCAGACGGUAAAGAAUCCGCCUGCAUCGGGAGAUCUGGGUUCGUUCCCUGGGUUGGGAAGAUCCCCUGGAGGAGGGCAUGGCAACCCACUCCAGUAUUCUUGCCUGGAGAAUCCCCAUGGACAGAGGAGCCUGCUGGGCAACAGUCCAAAGGGUCGCAAAGAGUCAGACACGACUGAAGCGACUUAGCAUGGUCCCCAGUUAGGCUUCUCUGACCCCUCAAGUCUGGGGUUUCUAAGCACCCAAUGUUUCUUUCAACUGCCGCAUGUAUCAUCAUCUGCUACACUCAACUGUUCUCAUGUCCUUGAGCUGAAGUCUGGUGAGAAAAGGAAUCGUUUCUGGAAGGUCAUGCCUCUCCUUCCACUGUCUCACCUGGUGCCUAGCAAAGGACAAGUUCUUAACUAUUGACUAAUUUAACAAACGAAUAAAUGAAUUUCCUUUUGUCAGGCUUUCUGUAAGGUCAACAUUCUAAAUAAAAUGAAAGAAAAAACCCUGUACCUACCCAGCACAACAGACACUCCACGCCAGAUAAAUGCCGCGUGAUGGCAGACCACAGGGUAGGGCCACGGCUCCUAACAAAGAACGCCUGCCACGAAUUCACGUGCAUUGGCUUUUCCAGCGGUGACAGUCCAAUGCAAAGGUAAGAUACCAUUUUAAUGUGUGUCCUACAGUAUUCCCAAAUGUGAAGCAUAUAUAAGAAAUGAAAAUAACCUCUCUUAAUUACCCAAAUCUCAGAGUAUCCCCUUCUUCUGUCACACGAUCAUGGACCAUAAAGAAAAACCUACCUGUAAGAAUAAGGAGUAUCUUCAACAUGUAUGGAAAGAAUAUGUUCUGCUAACACAGGGAUUCAGUUUUAAAAUGCACUAAAAUUUAAUGACCAUGAAUAUAUUCCAGCCUCAUAAUUUAAUCAGAAGGCCAAUAUCAAAAGUCAAUCUGGGGAUUUCCCUGGUGGUCCAGCAGUUAAGAGUCCACCUUGCAAUGCGGGGACGCGGGUUUGACCCCUGGUUGGGGAACUAGGAUCCCAACUGCUGAGGAGCUUAUAAGUUUACACGCCACAACGAAAGAUCCUGCUUGCUGCCUGAGACCCGACGCAGUCAUAAACACAUAGUUUUUAAAAAGCCAAUUUGCCUGACCGAAUUUCUGUUCUGAUGAAUUUGUCAAAUGUUAUCUUCUCCAAAUAGAGCUACCCUAAGAAAGUAAAUGUAUUCCAAUAAAGUCUCCUCCCACUGACCAGUUAGGAGAGAGACUAAGUACAGAAAGCAGAGAGAAAAUAUCCUCAUUGGCACUGCUGCCCAGCUGCCCAGAGGCCCACUCUGAUCUUUGGUCAUGUGGGUCACUUCGUGUUGAAGAUCUGGUGCAUUUUAUACAUCAAGUGCCACAGUCUGGUUCUUAAGACCCACUCCGCUUUCGUGGUCAAUUACAAGCGAGCGCUACCAUCAAAGCAUGCCCAGGAACUUGGCCAACUCACCCACCCCGAGUGAAGGUCUGAGAAUGAGCCCAAGGACAAGUGCCACCUGGGGACACUGUUCUCUGUGAUAACAAGCCAUGUGAGAUGAAGGGCAAAAUGAAGCCUCAGUAAGCAGCCCAGGAGGUUUCCUGGUCCAGUGGGUAUCAUCCUCCUCUGAUAUUACCACCACUGGCACGCUCAGCAGUGCAUGCGUGUGUGCAUGCUAAGCUGCUUCAGUAGUGCCUCUUUCCAGCCCGAUGGACUGUAGCCCUCCAGGCUCCUCUGCCCAUGGGAUUCUCAAGAACACUGGAGUGGGUUGCCAUGCCCUCCUCCAAGGGAUCUUCCCAACCCAAGGAUUGAACCUGAAUCAAUCCCACAGUUUAUUGUCUGUAAGCAUCUUCUGGGUGCAAGCAGUGACAAGUUUAAAAAUACAGACUUGUGAAGGGAUUGUCUGUAAUAACCGCCUUAUUCUGUGUAUGCAAAAAUAAAGUUUAUUCUUAAGUUCUGAUGAGAAACCAUCAGUCUCCUGGCAAGUUGGGAGUCUACACUCAACCCGAGGCUGUGAACACAUUUCCUGGAGCGGCUUCUCAGAGGGCAGUGUCCCGCCAGUUUGGGAAUAAUGCCGAGUCUGUCUGUUUUUCUAAUCUGGCCAGUGACCCAAGGACAGUCCAGGCAACAGUUUAGUGGACGUUUGCAGAAAAGCUCAAAUGGUAACAGCUGGGAAAGGCUGUGGGAAAAGUUGCUAACUUCCUUCAAGAAGAGAAUCUAGAACACAAGUAAGAGCUGGGAAGUAGUGAGAGAACGCUGAGUUUAGGAAGUAUUAAUAUACUGUACUGAGACAAGAGGUUUGUAAGACACAGCCACUUAAAGACAAAGGAGGGACCAUAUUCUCGUCUCUUCACCACUGCUUAGACUCUGGUCAGAGAAAAACAGACUCUUACACUGCUGGACGAUGAACACCCUCAUUCCAUAGUGACAACAAAUGCCUCCUACAAGCCAGGAAACAGGCUAGUGCAAAUUUAAAAUAAAUACACAUUUAAGCCCUACCCCAUUAUUAGCCCUGCUGAACAGUUCAAGGACGCGAGGUCACACAGCCACUAAGUGUGCUUACCAUAAAGCAUUCGUUAAAAUACCUGAAGUGUUCCACACACUUCAGGCUUUAAAAACCACUGGGUAGGUUUUAAUUCUGAUACUUUCAACAGGGAAGACCAUGACCAAAGGUGAAUCAUGCAGAGUAUGUAAGAGAUCUGGAGUGAAGAUUUGUGUGUGUGGCAAAAACCAAGAACCAUCCAGUUACCCUGAGGCUUAGAGGCAUAGCAUGCAAGAGAGAAGUUCUAUAAACCUUCUGUUUAACAGCCAGAAUUUUUAUAUCAGCCAAAAAAAGUAUGUUUCCAGAGCAGAAUAAUUAAAAAAAAAAAGAUCGGGAAAUUAAUUCAAUUGUACGUGAGGAGGGACUUGAGAGAAAUACUGCCAUUAAGAGUGGAUAAGCCCUCCACUUAUAGCCUGUGCUCACUUAGGGAAGUAGUCAAGGCCAGUUCAUCAUUCAAAGCCACAUGAAAUGUACAUUAGAAAUCAGAAUGAGUGGCCUCCACUUUGAUGAAAGGGUUGAACUCUCUCGCUCCAAGCUCUAUGCAUGACAGCCACCGGCCAUGGAGCUCGGUCCCCCUCGGAGAGGGACGGCCACGAGCCACGGAGCUCAGACCCACUUGGGGAGCGAUGGCCACUGG
Molecule: long non-coding RNA, 4178 nt
Organism: Dama dama (fallow deer)
Lineage: Eukaryota; Metazoa; Chordata; Mammalia; Artiodactyla; Cervidae
Exons: 3
Source: RefSeq, a predicted model, not a curated record